Molecule: ribosomal RNA, 495 nt
Filed under: uncultured bacterium
Lineage: Bacteria
Description: partial 16S ribosomal RNA
Rfam family: Bacterial small subunit ribosomal RNA
Source: RNAcentral
GACGAACGCUGGCGGCGUGCCUAAUACAUGCAAGUAGAACGCUGAAGGAGGAGCUUGCUUCUCUGGAUGAGUUGCGAACGGGUGAGUAACGCGUAGGUAACCUGCCUGGUAGCGGGGGAUAACUAUUGGAAACGAUAGCUAAUACCGCAUAAUAGCAGUUAUUGCAUGAUAACUGUUUGAAAGGUGCAAUUGCACCACUACCAGAUGGACCUGCGUUGUAUUAGCUAGUUGGUGGGGUAACGGCUCACCAAGGCGACGAUACAUAGCCGACCUGAGAGGGUGAUCGGCCACACUGGGACUGGGACACGGCCCAGACUCCUACGGGAGGCAGCAGUAGGGAAUCUUCGGCAAUGGACGGAAGUCUGACCGAGCAACGCCGCGUGAGUGAAGAAGGUUUUCGGAUCGUAAAGCUCUGUUGUAAGAGAAGAACGAGUGUGAGAGUGGAAAGUUCACACUGUGACGGUAUCUUACCAGAAAGGGACGGCUAACUACGUG